RNAcentral lists this ribosomal RNA (492 nucleotides) under uncultured bacterium. Its description in RNAcentral is "partial 16S ribosomal RNA". It matches the Rfam family "Bacterial small subunit ribosomal RNA", at positions 29 to 507 of the family's 1533-position model. The record is from RNAcentral.
AGUGAACGCUGGCGGUAGGCCUAACACAUGCAAGUCGAACGGCAGCACAGUAAGAGCUUGCUCUUACGGGUGGCGAGUGGCGGACGGGUGAGGAAUACAUCGGAAUCUACUUUUUCGUGGGGGAUAACGUAGGGAAACUUACGCUAAUACCGCAUACGACCUACGGGUGAAAGCAGGGGAUCUUCGGACCUUGCGCGAUUGAAUGAGCCGAUGUCGGAUUAGCUAGUUGGCGGGGUAAAGGCCCACCAAGGCGACGAUCCGUAGCUGGUCUGAGAGGAUGAUCAGCCACACUGGAACUGAGACACGGUCCAGACUCCUAUGGGAGGCAGCAGUGGGGAAUAUUGGACAAUGGGCGCAAUCCUGAUCCAGCCAUACCGCGUGGGUGAAGAAGGCCUUCGGGUUGUAAAGCCCUUUUGUUGGGAAAGAAAAGCAGCAGGUUAAUACCCCGCUGUUCUGACGGUACCCAAAGAAUAAGCACCGGCUAACUUCGUG